RNAcentral lists this long non-coding RNA (653 nucleotides) under Marmota monax (woodchuck). Lineage: Eukaryota; Metazoa; Chordata; Mammalia; Rodentia; Sciuridae. The record is from RNAcentral.
GCAGAAGCCAGCAGUCAUCUCCCACAGCCAGGGCUGGCGUCGUCUUGGGGAAGCGAAAACAUGGGGUGAGGAUAUGAAGGAGAUGUGGACAAUCAGAGGGACACCCCAGAAGCCUGGGCUCCAACGCAGGGACCAUGCCAACAGGCUGCAAGCUAGUUCCUGAGGUCUGGUGACAGAGGAGGCCCUGGCCCCGUAGGGAAAGCUGAGACACUGGCUCAGCACAGGAAGGGAUUCUCGGGAGCAGUCCCCUCUGGCCACAGAGACAGGAGACCUAUCCCACACCUGCCUCAGGGCCAGCUGGGAGUUGGCUCAGGGGAAGACUUUACCAAGGGCCCUAGCUUGGCAGGGGGUUGGCUCUGUGGAUUUCUCAGCCUCAGGACUAGUGACAUUGGGGUGUGGCUGAUUCCUUCUUGUAAGGGAUGACCUUGUCUUGUAGGACAUUCAGCCAACCCCUGACCUCCACCACUGGAUGCCUGUAGCACCUCCCCCCCCCCUCAAAAAUGUCUGUAGACCUUGGUAGCACAUACAUCCUGGGGUGCAGAAGCACACCCUCCCCUUGGAGAGACACCCAGGGUCUCUGCCUGCCCUGGCUGCACACGGGGACCCCUGGGGCGUUCAAGGGUACUGAGGCCUGGUGACUUCUCAGAGUGAUG